Molecule: RNase P RNA, 332 nt
Filed under: Muiribacterium halophilum (SeqCode)
Lineage: Bacteria; Candidatus Muiribacteriota; Muiribacteriia (SeqCode); Muiribacteriaceae (SeqCode)
Description: bacterium BM706 RNase P RNA component class A
Rfam family: Bacterial RNase P class A
About the family: Ribonuclease P (RNase P) is a ubiquitous endoribonuclease, found in archaea, bacteria and eukarya as well as chloroplasts and mitochondria. Its best characterised activity is the generation of mature 5'-ends of tRNAs by cleaving the 5'-leader elements of precursor-tRNAs.
Source: RNAcentral
GUAGAAGAACAGAUGUUCGCUCCUGAUUAUCAGGGGAGGAAAGUCCGAACUGCUGGGACAGGAAGCCGGGUAACUCCCGGGCAGGGUGACCUGACGGAAAGUGCAACAGAAAAUAUACCGCCUUUUUUAAGGUAAGGGUGAAAUGGUAAGGUAAGAGCUUACCAGCGGCAAAGUGAUUUGUCGGCUUGGCAAACCCCUUCUGCAGCAAGACCAAAUAGGGUGGUGGUUGGUCCCGCCAUAACCACCGGGUUGGUUGCUAAAAUCUUUAUGAAAAUAAUGAUUUAGACUAAUGGACAUCAAAACAGAAUUCGGCUUAUAGUUCUUCUACCGGA